UACGGAGGGUGCAAGCGUUAUCCGGAUUCACUGGGUUUAAAGGGAGCGUAGGUGGGUUGGUAAGUCAGUGGUAAAAUCCCCGAGCUUAACUUGGGAACUGCCAUUGAUACUAUCAGUCUUGAAUACUGUGGAGGUUAGCGGAAUAUGUCAUGUAGCGGUGAAAUGCUUAGAUAUGACAUAGAACACCAAUUGCGAAGGCAGCUGGCUACACAAUUAUUGACACUGAGGCUCGAAAGCGUGGGGAUCAAACAGG
RNAcentral lists this ribosomal RNA (253 nucleotides) under uncultured bacterium. RNAcentral describes it as "partial 16S ribosomal RNA". It matches the Rfam family "Bacterial small subunit ribosomal RNA", at positions 524 to 776 of the family's 1533-position model. The record is from RNAcentral.